This 540-nucleotide ribosomal RNA is filed under the name Trigonopterus sp. 279 AR-2022a. Its description in RNAcentral is "partial large subunit ribosomal RNA". It matches the Rfam family "Bacterial large subunit ribosomal RNA", at positions 1819 to 2625 of the family's 2925-position model. The record is from RNAcentral. Lineage: Eukaryota; Metazoa; Arthropoda; Insecta; Coleoptera; Curculionidae.
GGCUUGUUGAAAAUAAUUUCAGGUCUGACCUGCCCAAUGAUGUUUAUUAAAUGGCCGCAGUAUAUUGACUGUGCAAAGGUAGCAUAAUCAUUAGUUUCUUAAUUGGAAACUGGAAUGAAAGGUUUGAUGAGAAGAUAUCUGUCUCUAGAAAAAUUUAUUAGAAUUUUAUUUUUGAGUAAAAAAGCUUAAAUGUUCAUAGAAGACGAGAAGACCCUAUAGAGUUUAAUAUUUUUGAGGGACUUAUAAUUUUAGAAAAGAAGGGCUGUAAGUUGUUUAAAAGUAUUUUGUUGGGGUGAUAAAAAAAUUUGAUUAACUUUUUUUUAUUAUUUAACACUAAUUUGUGAUUCAAUGAUCCUAUAUUUUAGAUUAUAAGAUAAAAUUACCUUAGGGAUAACAGCGUAAUUUUUUUAAGAGUUCUUAUCGGAAGAAAAGAUUGCGACCUCGAUGUUGGAUUAAAAUUAAUUUUUGGUGCAGAAGCUAAAAAAUUUGGUCUGUUCGACCAUUAAAAUUUUACAUGAUCUGAGUUUAAACCGGUGUGAG